GAUGAACGCUAGCUGGAGGCUUAAUACAUGCAAGUCGAGCGGGAUUGGUAGCAAUACCAUGAGAGCGGCGCACGGGUGAGUAACGCGUACACGACCUACCCCUGACAGGGGGAUAGCCCUGGGAAACUGGGAUUAAUACCGCAUAUUAUUCUGAUUAAUAAAGGAUUGGAAUGAAAGUUCAGGCGGUCAGAGAUGGGUGU
This 200-nucleotide ribosomal RNA is filed under the name uncultured bacterium. RNAcentral describes it as "partial 16S ribosomal RNA". It matches the Rfam family "Bacterial small subunit ribosomal RNA", at positions 28 to 232 of the family's 1533-position model. The record is from RNAcentral.